RNAcentral lists this ribosomal RNA (1313 nucleotides) under metagenome. RNAcentral describes it as "bacterial LSU rRNA". It matches the Rfam family "Bacterial large subunit ribosomal RNA", at positions 1631 to 2925 of the family's 2925-position model. The record is from RNAcentral.
UCAAAAAGAGACCGUACUCCAAACCGACACAGGUGAUCAGGUAGAGAAUACCAAGGCGCUUGAGAGAACUCGGGUGAAGGAACUAGGCAAAAUGGCACCGUAACUUCGGGAGAAGGUGCACCGCUUUUGGUGAUGGGAUUUACUCCCUAAGCUGAGGGCGGUCGAAGAUACCAGGCCCCUGCAACUGUUUAUUAAAAACACAGCACUCUGCAAACACGUAAGUGGACGUAUAGGGUGUGACGCCUGCCCGGUGCCGGAAGGUUAAUUGAUGGGGUUAGCGCAAGCGAAGCUCUUGAUCGAAGCCCCGGUAAACGGCGGCCGUAACAAUAACGGUCCUAAGGUAGCGAAAUUCCUUGUCGGGUAAGUUCCGACCUGCACGAAUGGCGUAAUGAUGGGGGCGCUGUCUCCACCCGAGACUCAGUGAAAUUGAAAUCGCGGUUAAGAUGCCGUGUACCCGCGGCUAGACGGAAAGACCCCGUGAACCUUUACUAUAGCUUUGCACUGAACUUUGAACCUAUCUGUGUAGGAUAGGUGGGAGGCUUUGAAGUCGAGACGCUAGUUUCGAUGGAGCCGUCCUUGAAAUACCACCCUGGUAUGUUUGAGGUUCUAACGUCGGCCCCUUAUCGGGGUUACGGACAGUGUAUGGUGGGUAGUUUGACUGGGGCGGUCUCCUCCCAAAGAGUAACGGAGGAGCACGAAGGUGUGCUAAUCAUGGUCGGAAAUCAUGAGGUUAGUGUAAAGGCAAAAGCACGCUUGACUGCGAGACAGACAUGUCGAGCAGGUACGAAAGUAGGUCUUAGUGAUCCGGUGGUUCUGUAUGGAAGGGCCACCGCUCAACGGAUAAAAGGUACUCCGGGGAUAACAGGCUGAUACCGCCCAAGAGUUCACAUCGACGGCGGUGUUUGGCACCUCGAUGUCGGCUCAUCACAUCCUGGGGCUGAAGCCGGUCCCAAGGGUAUGGCUGUUCGCCAUUUAAAGUGGUACGCGAGCUGGGUUUAGAACGUCGUGAGACAGUUCGGUCCCUAUCUGCCGUGGGCGUUGGAGAUUUGAGAAGAGUUGUUCCUAGUACGAGAGGACCGGAAUGAACGAACCUCUGGUGUUCGGGUUGUCAUGCCAAUGGCAUUGCCCGGUAGCUACGUUCGGACGGGAUAACCGCUGAAAGCAUCUAAGCGGGAAGCCUCCUUCAAGAUGAGAUCUCCCUGGGACUUUAAGUCCCCUAAAGAGCCGUUGAAGACUACGACGUUGAUAGGUUGGGUGUGGAAGCGCAGCGAUGCGUUGAGCUAACCAAUACUAAUUGCUCGUGCGGCUUGACC